AUAAAUCUGCGGUGUACGGAGUUCGGCAUAAACGCAAUCCACGUAUUAAAAUCGGGAGUUCUUAUGGUUCGUGGCGAUAGGCAAGGUCUGUAUUUUCGGAAAGUCCGAUGCGUCAAGACGGGACACCCACCUGCUGAAAGCGGGUUGACCUUACGUCGAGGUGCGGCACAGGCGGAUUUAAC
Molecule: non-coding RNA, 182 nt
Filed under: Clostridiales bacterium
Lineage: Bacteria; Bacillati; Bacillota; Clostridia; Eubacteriales
Description: 6S RNA
Rfam family: 6S / SsrS RNA
About the family: E. coli 6S RNA was the first non coding RNA to be sequenced, but its function was unknown until recently. It consists of 184 nucleotides that fold into an extended hairpin structure with a large single-stranded internal bulge. The 6S RNA specifically associates with RNA polymerase holoenzyme containing the sigma70 specificity factor.
Source: RNAcentral